This 808-nucleotide ribosomal RNA is filed under the name uncultured Planctomycetota bacterium. Its description in RNAcentral is "bacterial SSU rRNA". It matches the Rfam family "Bacterial small subunit ribosomal RNA", at positions 46 to 832 of the family's 1533-position model. The record is from RNAcentral. Lineage: Bacteria; Pseudomonadati; Planctomycetota.
GGAUUAGGCAUGCAAGUCGCACGAGAAAGGCUUCUUCGGAAGCCGAGUAAAGUGGCGAACGGGUGAGUAAUGCAUAGACAACUCGCCCUUGAGAUGGGGACAACGCCUCGAAAGGGGUGCUAAUACCCAAUGCCGCCUUGGGCCUGCGGGUCCAGGGUGAAAGGAGGCCUCUGAUUCAAGCUUCCGCUCAAGGAGAGGUUUAUGUCCUAUUAGCUAGUUGGCGGGGUAACGGCCCACCAAGGCUGCGAUGGGUAGCCGACCUGAGAGGGUGACCGGCCACAUUGGGACUGAGACACUGCCCAGACUCCUACGGGAGGCUGCAGUCGAGAAUCUUCCGCAAUGCGCGCAAGCGUGACGGAGCGACGCCGCGUGGGUGAUGAAGGCCUUCGGGUUGUAAAACCCUGUCAGCUACCACGAAACACGGGCGAUGAACAAUCGUCCCGUCUGACUUAAGUAGCAGAGGAAGCACCGGCUAACUACGUGCCAGCAGCCGCGGUAAUACGUAGGGUGCGAACGUUGUUCGGAAUCACUGGGCAUAAAGGGCGCGUAGGCGGUCUGAUAAGUCAGGUGUGAAAUCCCUCGGCCUAACCGAGGAACUGCAUUUGAUACUGUCGGGCUAGAGUACAGGAGGGGAGAGUGGAAUUCCUGGUGGAGCGGUGAAAUGCGUAGAUAUCAGGAGGAACGCCGGCGGCGAAAGCGACUCUCUGGCCUGUUACUGACGCUGAGGCGCGAAAGCUAGGGGAGCAAACGGGAUUAGAUACCCCGGUAGUCCUAGCCCUAAACGAUGGGCACUAAGUAGAGGGGUUUU